ACUGAACCAAAGGAGGGAGUUGUGGGAACCUCCAAUCUGUAGCCUCUGGGUUAGAAGCAUAGGAAACAACCUAAGCUUUCAACUGGCAUCUUCUGGGAAUGAGCCCUUAACCUGUGGAAUUCGAUGCCAUCUCCAGGUGGACAGAAUCAGAACUAUGUUGAAUUUUAGGAUGCUCACCUGGUGUCCAGGGAAUUACUUGGUGAUGAGGUGUGAGGAAAUCCCCCCAUCCCCACCACACACACAUUGGAAUUUGUGACCAGAAUUUUUAGUCACAUUUGCAGGUUCCGGCUGGAUGUGAAUUUUGGUGGGACACUAUUGAACCCAGUAAACGUAGUGAGAAAGAAAUGUAUUCUGAGACAGACCCAAGCUAAGGACAUUGUUGAGAAAGGCCUGGGUAAUUUUUCACACAGGGAUGUCCCCACCUAACAAUUUCCCAUUACUGUAGUAAUGGCUCUCCCCCAUGCUUUCCCCUCGCUCCUCUGCCUCCUGGCCAACUCUGGUACUUCUUCACGUGGCUCUGCAUGGUGUGGUGUGCCUCCUCCUCUUGGGAAUUGUAGAUUACUCCAUGUUUUUCAUAAACAUAGAAUCACAAAGAAGCCUUAGGCUGUUGGGAAGCAGAACAUGCUGGCUUACUAUUGCACAAAGACAAAGAUAUUCACCUGGAAGCAUACUCUACAACCAAAAGUCACACCAUCGAUAUUAUUAUCUGUUUGUUUGAGAUCUAUUGCCGUAAACUAUGGUCUGAAGCUUUCGGUUCCUCAAAGCUGAGUCAACAUUGUUGAAAAUCUUCAGUGGAUUUGAUAUAAACACUACCAAUGCAGACAUUUUAUGGAAGAAAAAGGCCUUGUUGUUAUGAUCAGUAGAGCAUCAUCUAGAAUAGUGAUGUGGAUGAAUUUCACCACUAGAGCACUAAAUUCACCCCUGAAAUAAUAACACACAAAACUCUGAGCCGAUAUUGAGUGUUAAGGAUGUCCUUUCAUGUUUCCUCAUGAAGAUGAAGAUUAACUGCGGCUUGCCAAGCAUUUACAGGAUAAUCUUGUUUUUACCUUCAAAAGGCACAUUAAAUGUGAUGAAGCCAGAUAGGCCAGCACUCGUAUUUGCAAUGUUAUCUCCUCUGGUGCAUACAUGCAGCUGAUGCACUUAUGCUGUUGGGGCACUUUAAUAGGUCACUCUAUCAGAAAAAAAGAUGAAGUGUUAAAGGCUGUAUUGGGGCCUGCUAAGUGUAAUCCAAUACAGUGGGUCUGAUCCUGUCGAGUGUGUGAGAUACCGCAGAGGUUGUUAGGCAGUCUGUAGAGCGAGCCCCCCUAAGCUCACUUGCUUCUGGUUUUGUGUGAUUAUAAAGCCCACAAGUCAGGGGCAUCCAGUCCAGUAUCACCAAGAAGGUGCCAACAAUACUGUCAAUGGAAUGAUGCAUUUCUGUCAGUUCCAAAGACUGAGAGAUGCUAUUAAAUGAAUCUCCUAAUUAGCUAUUUUAAAAACAGCUACUUGGAAUGAAUAUAGUUUUGUUGAUUUAAAAAAAAUGAAUCUGCAUAUAGUUCUAGCUUUCAGGAAAAUAUGUCAUUUGGAUGUCAUAAAUAUC
Molecule: long non-coding RNA, 1579 nt
Organism: Equus asinus (donkey)
Lineage: Eukaryota; Metazoa; Chordata; Mammalia; Perissodactyla; Equidae
Source: Ensembl